CAUAUCUCACGGAAGCAUGAUGACGUUAUUAAGCCGAUAGGGGCGUGUACGAGGCCUUGUUGCCGUGAGGUUGUCUGAUUAAGUUAAUGGGCCGAAGUCAAUCCACUCCCACCAUGUUACCUUCUCUAAGUUCAAUUACACAGUCAUGACAUUAUUUAGGAUUCCAUUGACAUUGAUUAGGAUUCCAUUAGCUUAAUUAGCUCGCAAGCGGUAGGCAAGAGGUUCUUGUUUGUUGUGUUCUGAUCUUUUAGGUUAGUAGAUUGAUGUCAAUACCCUCUCAUCCAUGUUACCUUGUCU
RNAcentral lists this long non-coding RNA (297 nucleotides) under Setaria viridis. Its description in RNAcentral is "long non-coding RNA (SVIR_LNC010145)". The record is from RNAcentral. Lineage: Eukaryota; Viridiplantae; Streptophyta; Magnoliopsida; Poales; Poaceae.